CACCCUGAGGGGAAAAAGGAACAUGUGAUCAAUACCAAGUUGUGCAAAAUCCUCAGCAAUCCUCACAAUUCCAGCUCUGCGCUGUUUCCCUGGGAAAGCCGAAGCUAACUUGGGAAAAUAAACAGAGAUUUGUUUGCAGGAGGAGUUAAACAAGUGUCCAAGCAUUAUCUGCUGUGCUGAUAAACACAAACGGGGAGAGAAAAGGAGCUCAGUGACUGCAAAAAGCCUGAAGGGUCUGUGCAAGGCCUUUUCAGCAGUUUCACCUGAACCUGAAUCUGGGAAUUUCCUGGAAAAUCUGGCAGCUUGAAAUCUCUAAAGAGAAAUUCUGUGCCUUAAGGAAUAAGUAGCUGCCCUGAGCUAGAGCAGAGUCCUUUUUCCAGCUCCAGGAAGAGGACAAAGUUCUUAGGGAAAUGUGUUCUGGGAGAGUUCUAUCAGCUUCCUGAUAGGGAACUGGGAAAAAAAGUGAAAAAGAACAUGAGGGGUUUUAGGAUCCCUUCUUUAGUGAUUUUAAGAAGCCAAAGCAGGGAUAUUUGUUGCAGCAGCACAAGGCAAACAUCCCAGACAGAUGACAAUAGCCUGGGAUCCCAUGGUGGAUUUUGCUACUGAACACAAUACAGCAUUAUGUGACAAAACAGGAGUUGUUCCAAGGGAAUUUGAUUUCUGAGGGGUGAAUCUUUACUAAGUUACAAAAACCAACCACAUCCUUGAUUUGGCUACUGAACACAAUACAGCAUUAUGUGAAAAAAGAGGAGUUGUUCCAAGGGAAAUUUGAUUUCUGAGGGAUGAAUCUUUACUGAGUUACGAAAUCCAACCACAUCCUUGAGGUGCCACUCCUCACACACUGCCUCCAGCCCCUCCUGGCUCUCAGUGCCAGCCUGAUGGCACCAAUCCCUGGGCAUCCAGCCUCCUGUUUGCCCUGCAGUGAUGCAGCCCCUUAUCAAUGGCAAGGGGGAGAGGCUGAUAAGGCAGCAGGAGCCUGUGGGAGCAGCCCUCCCCACAGUCAAACAUCUCGGCUCCUGCUCAGCUGAGCCUCAGAAAUGUUUGCUCAGGUGGAGCUGCCUGAACUGGGAGGCUGGAGCAGGGUGUCACCAGCCUGUCCUCACCCUCCCAGUGCUUCCUGCUGGAGUUCAGAGCAAUGGGAAGGCUCUGACUCCAUUCCAGGCAGGGGGAUUUAGAAGAAGCUGUGUCCUCCUGCUCCUCAGGGGUACAGGCUGAGCUGUGAAUCCAGGGGAAAAAUCCACCUGCCAGCAGAGUUUUGAUCACUCUCAUGGAAAGACUUGAUUUUACUCAAGUCCUGCCAUUUUCCAGUGUAAACAUGCUGCAUCCUUAGUAACCCCACAUCAGGAGCUGCUGCUUUGGAAAACAUGAGGGAGAAACCAUCCCAAGCUGGUUGCUAAAGACACUGAGGUGACUCGUGGAGGUGCCACAGGGUGAUUCAGCUGCCAUGAAUGAUCACACACAACCAUCCAGACAGCCUGGAGAGCUCUCGGAGACAGCCCCAGUGAUCCAUCACCCACCAAAACUCCCAAGGAGAGGGAAACCGGCUCAGCUCAAGUUUAAGGCCCAGCAUUAACCUGCAGGAGAACAAAUCCUCCAACCCCAAAAGGCUUUUUCUAAAGCAGAUUUGAAAUUCCUCAGUUUUGAUCUAACAGUUAAUUUAAAACAAAUAGCUCCAAGUGCAAAAAGCAUCUUUAGCUGUCACAUUGGCAAUGCUUAGAAGAAACUCUUGCUUCAAACUGAAGAACUUGUUGCAGGAAACAGAUUUCCAGCAGGGAAAAAUCCCAAUCCUGUAGGCAGGCACUCAAGUUAUUUGUCACAAAAAGCCUCAUUAAUCUGUAAACCAAUAAAGCUUGCAAUAAAUGUU
Molecule: long non-coding RNA, 1864 nt
Organism: Passer domesticus (house sparrow)
Lineage: Eukaryota; Metazoa; Chordata; Aves; Passeriformes; Passeridae
Exons: 2
Source: RefSeq, a predicted model, not a curated record